This 466-nucleotide ribosomal RNA is filed under the name uncultured Desulfomonile sp. RNAcentral's name for it is "bacterial SSU rRNA". It matches the Rfam family "Bacterial small subunit ribosomal RNA", at positions 338 to 795 of the family's 1533-position model. The record is from RNAcentral. Lineage: Bacteria; Pseudomonadati; Thermodesulfobacteriota; Desulfomonilia; Desulfomonilales; Desulfomonilaceae.
CCUACGGGGGGCAGCAGUGAGGAAUAUUGCGCAAUGGAGGAAACUCUGACGCAGCAACGCCGCGUGAGUGAAGAAGGCCCUCGGGUUGUAAAGCUCUGUCAGGUGGGAAGAACCCUCUGUAGUUGAAUAGGCUACAGAACUGACGGUACCACCAAAGGAAGCACCGGCUAACUCCGUGCCAGCAGCCGCGGUAAGACGGAGGGUGCAAGCGUUGUUCGGAAUCACUGGGCGUAAAGCGCGUGUAGGCGGCUUGACAAGUCGAAUGUGAAAGCCCGGGGCUCAACCUCGGAAGUGCAUUCGAAACUGUCAGGCUUGAGUACGGGAGAGGGAAGUGGAAUUCCUGGUGUAGAGGUGAAAUUCGUAGAUAUCAGGAGGAACACCGGUGGCGAAGGCGGCUUCCUGGACCGAUACUGACGCUGAGACGCGAAAGCGUGGGGAGCAAACAGGAUUAGAUACCCGAGUAGUC